CCCCUAGAUGUUCUGGGCCGCACGCGCGUUACACUGAACAGUUCAACAAGUCUUAACCUUGGCCGAUAGGUCUGGGUAAUCUUUGAACGCUGUUCGUGAUUGGGAUAGACCUUUGCAAUUAUGGGUCUUCAACGAGGAAUUCCUAGUAAACGCAAGUCAUCAGCUUGCAUUGAUUACGUCCCUGCCCUUUGUACACACCGCCCGUCGCACCUACCGAUUGAAUGGUCCGGUGAAAUCUCGGGACGGCGGCUUGGUCGCUUGCGUCCGACUGCUGAAACUUGAUUAAACCAUAUCAUUUAGAGGAAGGUGAAGUCGUAACA
RNAcentral lists this ribosomal RNA (320 nucleotides) under uncultured eukaryote. Its description in RNAcentral is "partial 18S ribosomal RNA". It matches the Rfam family "Eukaryotic small subunit ribosomal RNA", at positions 1470 to 1796 of the family's 1831-position model. The record is from RNAcentral.